Molecule: ribosomal RNA, 106 nt
Filed under: Cebus imitator (Panamanian white-faced capuchin)
Lineage: Eukaryota; Metazoa; Chordata; Mammalia; Primates; Cebidae
Source: RNAcentral
UAUAGUCAUGCCACCUGGAACAUGUCUGAUCUCGUCUGAUCUCAGAGGCUAAGCAGGAUCAGGCCUGGUUAGUGCUUGCAUGAGAGAAAACUUAGAAAACUUACAA